Acanthosepion pharaonis is the source of this 91-nucleotide non-coding RNA. The record is from the annotation of a GenBank genome assembly. Lineage: Eukaryota; Metazoa; Mollusca; Cephalopoda; Sepiida; Sepiidae.
UAUGGCCAAAUCAAGCUGAAACACUGGUUCUCAUUUGAUCACUGAAGUUAAGCAGUGUCGAACCCAGUCAGUACUUAGAUGUGGGACCGCC